GACGAACGCUGGCGGCGUGCUUAACACAUGCAAGUCGAACGAUGAUCCUUUCUUCGGUUAGGUGAUUAGUGGCGAACGGGUGAGUAACACGUGAGUAACCUGCCCUCCACUUCGGGAUAACUGUGGGAAACUUCAGCUAAUACCGGAUAUUCUGCUGCUUCCGCAUGGGGGUGGUUGGAAAGAUAUUUUGGUGGGGGAUGGACUCGCGGCCUAUCAGCUUGUUGGUGGGGUAGUGGCCUACCAAGGCGGUGACGGGUAGCCGGCCUGAGAGGGCGACCGGCCACACUGGGACUGAGAUACGGCCCAGACUCCUACGGGAGGCAGCAGUGGGGAAUAUUGCACAAUGGGCGAAAGCCUGAUGCAGCAACGCCGCGUGCGGGAUGACGGCCUUCGGGUUGUAAACCGCUUUCAGCAGGGGCGAAUUUGACGGUACCUGCAGAAGAAGCACCGGCUAACUACGUGCCAGCAGCCGCAGUAAAAC
Molecule: ribosomal RNA, 481 nt
Filed under: uncultured bacterium
Lineage: Bacteria
Description: bacterial SSU rRNA
Rfam family: Bacterial small subunit ribosomal RNA
Source: RNAcentral